RNAcentral lists this long non-coding RNA (544 nucleotides) under Mus musculus (house mouse). RNAcentral's name for it is "predicted gene, 49041". Lineage: Eukaryota; Metazoa; Chordata; Mammalia; Rodentia; Muridae. The record is from RNAcentral.
GACGGCGGGAGCGUGCGUGGAGCGGGUCUCGCCGUCCUCACUGCUCCCCGAGUGGAAGCCCAGGCUCGCGGGGGAAGUUCCUGCCGUGUGAAAAGGUGGAUGCUGUGGCUGUAUUCUGAGGCGGAGAAGCUCGGAAGUUUCAGCCCUCCAGGGUCGCUUCGCUUCGCGUCACUUAGCAGCCGCCCACUGAGGAUGCCACCCCCGUCCUGCGUGGGCCCCGACCGGGGUGACACGUCAAGCAGUUGUGCCUCCCGAGGUGGAGGAACGCCUUGUGAAACGCACUCAAACUUCCGAAAGCGUCGCGCCCAAAUUCCCAGAGAGCAACUUGGAAAUCUGUGUGUUGAUUGGAGCCGCUGUUGUGGGGGGGGGGAAGAACGUGGUCUCCAGGAGGAAUUCCGUUAAUAUCUGUCGCCAAGGGGGAACCAGGCUUGAGAUGGGGUUGGUGAGAGGAAUGAAGAACCGGUGUUUUUAUAAAUAACACAACUUGGCUGUGACUGCUCUGCUCUGCUCUGCUAAUUGGGGAAGUGGGGAGAAAAUUUUGAAA